UGUCUAGGGGUUCAAACCUAAAGAACCCAAAUAUCUAAACGGGGAGAUUCAAUAUUGCCCUUUAAAAAGCAAUGUGCACUUCUCCCUUAGUAAGACGCUGUGAUCCAUUAGAAAUUGAUCAUUCCAAUGAUUAUUUGGCUAUCAAUAGGCCGAUGCAGAGUUCAUUAAUGCAAAUAGUAUUAUCUUUUAUGGUGAUGCAUAUUGUUUGGUGAGCGUAUCGUAACCUGUCUUAUAGCUGUCUGAUGGAUUUUAAAGGUCAUAUUAUUGAUGUUUCGGCAUCACUCAUACGUGAGAAUAAAUAUGUACCCGAUCAACAGCGGUUAAAUUUGGGAUACCUUUUGGACCCGUCUUGAAACACGGACCAAGGAGUCUAUCUAGUAUGCAAGUAAAUGAGUAUAUGAAACUUAUUUGCAGAAAAAACUUGACUGUUUAUGGGACUACGAGUUAUACAUUUAUGUGUAGCUCCUCCAUCCCGGGGUAUUUUCAUCAACAUAUGCAGCAAUGUAUAUGGAAAAUAUACCAUGAGCAUACUGGAUAUGACCCGAAAGAUGGUGAACUAUGCCUGAUCAGGUUGAAGUCAGGGGAAACCCUGAUGGAGGACCGAAGCAAUUCUGACGUGCAAAUCGAUUGUCAGAAUUGGGCAUAGGGGCGAAAGACCAAUCGAACCAUC
Molecule: ribosomal RNA, 670 nt
Filed under: Semiocladius endocladiae
Lineage: Eukaryota; Metazoa; Arthropoda; Insecta; Diptera; Chironomidae
Description: partial large subunit ribosomal RNA
Rfam family: Eukaryotic large subunit ribosomal RNA
Source: RNAcentral